Fukomys damarensis (Damara mole-rat) is the source of this 904-nucleotide long non-coding RNA. RefSeq lists it as uncharacterized. NCBI's taxonomy places the organism in Eukaryota, Metazoa, Chordata, Mammalia, Rodentia, Bathyergidae. The record is from RefSeq and is a predicted model, not a curated record. The transcript is spliced from 5 exons.
GGGAUCAAUCUGGAAGACAUGCGCCCGGGUGGUGAAGAUGGGCUGUUCUCUGCAAUAAGAGAGAUGGGCAUUUUCCCAGGCUGACCUUGAACUCACCAUCUCCUGCCUCAUCCUCCUGAAUAUCUGAGACUACCAGGCUGGCUCGCGGUCCCCUGGAGCAGGGCAUGAUUCCAGGGAUGUGGAUUAUGAGGACGUUUCUCUCAGGUUCACCCAACCAGUCAGUCCUGAACCAACACUCUGCCAGCAGCUGGGUGGCAGCUGAAGAUGCAGAUGGCACAUUCUCACUGUGAUUCCCUGCAUCUGUCAUCAAGAGAGGCCAGGAGGUGGUGAGAGUGCGCACAACAGUAGGAGCCCACAAUCAAGUGGCACGGUACAGUCUGAAGCCCGGACAGCCCAGCUGUGCCACUGUCAACCCAGCCCUGCAUUUUCCUAAUCAUCUAAGUACAGCACCGCCAUAAAGAAAAAAAACAUUUCCUACAUGGUCUUCUUCUGCAUAUGCUCUCAAAUGACUUCUUGCUGGCUAAAAUGAAGCAAGCUGGGGAGACCCUCAAAGCAGGAAAUUGAGAGGGGACUGAAGCCAACGACUGGAGAAGAACUGAGGCCCAACAUCCCUGGAGCACCUGAAAUUCUGCCAAUACCCAGGGUUGUGAGCACGCAGCAACACCCAUCCAGACAUCUGAGGGUCCAAGGUGCUUUCAGGUAACCUGGAUAAUAAAUCUUGAGUUUGCUAAGAGCAAAAUCAGAGUACUUUAUAAACUCACCACCAAAUUUAGAGAAGCAGACCCCAACUUUAAAAGUAUUUUGCGUCACAUGAAAAAGUAAAAGAGCUGGAACUAGGACACAGAAGUCAGUUCCUACAUGUGUGCAAAUCAAUAUAAAUAGAAAGAGUCAAAAGAAUCAGAAC